UAGGGAAUCUUCGGCAAUGGACGAAAGUCUGACCGAGCAACGCCGCGUGAGUGAAGAAGGUUUUCGGAUCGUAAAACUCUGUUGUUAGAGAAGAACAAGGACGUUAGUAACUGAACGUCCCCUGACGGUAUCUAACCAGAAAGCCACGGCUAACUACGUGCCAGCAGCCGCGGUAAUACGUAGGUGGCAAGCGUUGUACGGAUUUAUUGGGCGUAAAGCGAGCGCAGGCGGUUUCUUAAGUCUGAUGUGAAAGCCCCCGGCUCAACCGGGGAGGGUCAUUAGAAACUGGGAGACUUGAGUGCAGAAGAGGAGAGUGGAAUUCCAUGUGUAGCGGUGAAAUGCGUAGAUAUAUGGAGGAACACCAGUGGCGAAGGCGGCUCUCUGGUCUGUAACUGACGCUGAGGCUCGAAAGCGUGGGGAGCAAACAGG
This 429-nucleotide ribosomal RNA is filed under the name Gemmatimonadota bacterium. RNAcentral's name for it is "Gemmatimonadetes bacterium partial 16S ribosomal RNA". It matches the Rfam family "Bacterial small subunit ribosomal RNA", at positions 355 to 776 of the family's 1533-position model. The record is from RNAcentral. Lineage: Bacteria; Pseudomonadati; Gemmatimonadota.